Molecule: long non-coding RNA, 274 nt
Organism: Cygnus olor (mute swan)
Lineage: Eukaryota; Metazoa; Chordata; Aves; Anseriformes; Anatidae
Exons: 3
Source: RefSeq, a predicted model, not a curated record
GGUGCCUGGGCUUCCUGAAGCUUCCUGGAGCCCCGCCAGUAUCCAGUGGGCUCUCCCAGUUUGGAGGCAGUGGUUCCCUCAUGCCUGAGGCAGCCUACUGCCACCACGCUCUGCCAUUCAGGGGCAGAAGGGAAAAGCCAAGGCGAGCCUGACCUCCUUAAGGGCCAGAAUAUGCCAGAGGAGGCAAGGCAGAUGAUCUGCUGCAGCUGGGGGCAGUUUACGAAUGGAAAGCCUUACAUCAUGCAAACGAAGCGGGACAACUACCUCCAUCACC